RNAcentral lists this small nuclear RNA (190 nucleotides) under Castor canadensis (American beaver). Its description in RNAcentral is "U2 spliceosomal RNA (ENSCCNG00000019796.1)". It matches the Rfam family "U2 spliceosomal RNA". From Rfam's summary of the family: U2 is a small nuclear RNA (snRNA) component of the spliceosome (involved in pre-mRNA splicing). Complementary binding between U2 snRNA (in an area lying towards the 5' end but 3' to hairpin I) and the branchpoint sequence (BPS) of the intron results the bulging out of an unpaired adenosine, on the BPS, which initiates a nucleophilic attack at the intronic 5' splice site, thus starting the first of two transesterification reactions that mediate splicing. Lineage: Eukaryota; Metazoa; Chordata; Mammalia; Rodentia; Castoridae. The record is from Rfam by way of RNAcentral.
AUCGCUUCUCGGCCUUGUGGCUAAGAUCGAGUGUAGUAUCUGUUCUUGUCAGUUUAACAUCUGAUCCGUCCUCUAUCCGAGGACAGUAUAUUAAAUGCAUUUUUGGAACAGGGAGAUGGAAUAGGGGCUGCUCCGUCCACUCCACGCAUCAACCUGGUAUUGCAGUGCCUCCAGGAACAGUGCACCAAAA